This 1469-nucleotide ribosomal RNA is filed under the name metagenome. RNAcentral describes it as "bacterial LSU rRNA". It matches the Rfam family "Bacterial large subunit ribosomal RNA", at positions 1434 to 2925 of the family's 2925-position model. The record is from RNAcentral.
GAUUCCUGUACUGCGGUAUGACGGAACUGUGGGGACACGUAAGGAAAGCGGAAGCCGGGAAUGGAAAGCCCGGUGCAAGCGGGGUACCAGCCACUUUGGCAAAUCCGGGUGGCAAUGGGAAGCCGUGAUGCGGAGCGAAAUAGAGUAGCGAAGUCCGUGAGCCAUGCGUCAAGAAAAGCCGCUAUUGUUUAUACCGUACCCGUACCGUAAACCGACACAGGUGGAUGAGGAGAGAAUCCUAAGGCCGGCGGAAGAAGCAUUGUCAAGGAACUCGGCAAAAUGGCCCCGUAACUUAGGGAUGAGGGGUGCCUGGGAAACCAGGCCGCAGAGAAUAGGCUCAAGCAACUGUUUAGCAAAAACACAGGUCUAUGCGAAACCGAAAGGUGAGGUAUAUGGGCUGACGCCUGCCCGGUGCUGGAAGGUUAAGAGGAGAGGUUAGCGGUAACGCGAAGCUUUGAAUUUAAGCCCCAGUAAACGGCGGCCGUAACAAUAACGGUCCUAAGGUAGCGAAAUUCCUUGUCGGGUAAGUUCCGACCCGCACGAGAGGUGUAAUGAUUUGAGCGCUGUCUCGACAAUGCAUCCGGUGAAAUUGAAGUACCAGUGAAGAUGCUGGUUACCUGCGCCAGGACGGAAAGACCCCAUGGAGCUUUACUCCAGUCUGGUACUGGGACUCGGUAUUGCAUGUACAGGAUAGGUGGGAGGCUAGGAGAUGGUAACGCCAGUUGCCAUGGAGCCGCUGUUGGGAUACCACCCUUGCAGUAUUGGGUUUCUAACCAGCCGCCGUGACCCGGCGGUGGGACAAUGCCAGACGGGGAGUUUGACUGGGGCGGUCGCCUCCGAAAGGGUAUCGGAGGCGCCCAAAGGUUCCCUCAGAAUGGACGGAAACCAUUCGAAGAGUGCAAAGGCAGAAGGGAGCUUGACUGCGACACCGACGGGUGGAGCAGGUACGAAAGUAGGGCUUAGUGAUCCGGUGGUAUUAAGUGGGAAUGCCAUCGCUCAACGGAUAAAAGCUACCCUGGGAUAACAGGCUUAUCACUCCCAAGAGUUCACAUCGACGGAGUGGUUUGGCACCUCGAUGUCGGCUCAUCGCAUCCUGGGGCUGUAGUAGGUCCCAAGGGUUGGGCUGUUCGCCCAUUAAAGCGGUACGCGAGCUGGGUUCAGAACGUCGUGAGACAGUUCGGUCCCUAUCCGGCGUGGGCGUAGGAUAUCUGAGAGGAGCUGUCCUUAGUACGAGAGGACCGGGAUGGACGGGCCGCUGGUGCAUCGGUUAGACUGCCAAGUCUACGGCCGAGUAGCCAAGCCCGGAAGGGAUAAACGCUGAAGGCAUCUAAGCGUGAAGCCCCCCUUAAGAUGAGAUAUCCCAUUCGUUAAGAAGUAAACCCCCUUGAAGACGACGAGGUAGAUAGGGCAGAGGUGGAAGUGCAGCAAUGCAUGGAGCUGACUGUUACUAAUCGGGUGAGGGCUUGAUC